Molecule: long non-coding RNA, 149 nt
Organism: Thalassophryne amazonica
Lineage: Eukaryota; Metazoa; Chordata; Actinopteri; Batrachoidiformes; Batrachoididae
Exons: 3
Source: RefSeq, a predicted model, not a curated record
ACCUAAUAACACCUCUGGAGUGAUUUAGAAGACAUUAUGCCAACUUUAGCGUGCAUACUAACUUUCGCUAAGUCAAAGCUAACUUCCUAUGGAGUUAAAUUUGUCUCAAUACCAGCAAAUGCACAGAGGGUGAUCUACAAAUAUUCCUU